UCUAUAGACUUAAAUUUUCAUGAAUUCAGAAUAAUUCUCUGUACGAUUACGAUUCUUCGUCUCUUUGUAUAUCGUACUUGUAUUUUAUUGACUAUUUGUCAUUUUGCUAGAGACUGUUCACAAAGUUUAUUUCACAUCUGCCAAAUUCAGACGAACACACCCCUUCUUUUGCCUCCUCUUUCAACAAACUAACAGCAAAUUUAUCAACAAACUGUCACCGAGACGAGUGUGAAAAUCGCGACAUGAAGAAAAAUGGAAAUAGAAACUAAGAUAAAAAUAAAAAUAACAGAAAAAUGAAAAACUACAAAAGCCAUAAAGACUUUGGAAUUUUCACCAGGUAGAGAGAUGACCCAUUGAUGUUCAGUUGAUGCUGCGCCGCCGCCUUCCUCCUCCACACCCCGCCGACACCCCUCGGAAAUUGCGGUCAGCCAGUGGGCGUUUUAAGCAACUUGCUUUUGGUAGCAACUAAAUCGAAAGCCGUCCCGUCAAGCAGUCAGUCAAUCAGAGGAGCUUUUGAUUUGACAGUGCGUUGGGGAGAGAAAAUAAAAUGAGAUUUGAAAAAAAAAUCAUAAUUUUCAUUGCCAUCAGUCUUCACAUACUGGCAAUUGGCUGUUUAGGAAAAAAAAAACUGGGUUAACAUUUAUUGUUUAUGUUGUUUACUUGUGUUGAUUUCGGUGUAGUCUUUUGCACAUUUUGUGUGCGCUUCUUUGUUCAUUGUUUAUUUUGGUUUUGCCGUGAAUGUGAGUCAGGUUGGAGAGAGGGAUUGUUUUUUAUUUGUAACCACACAAACCGUUAGAAAACCUAGAAGAAGAAGCAAGAAACGUGCGUCUAAUGAAUGAUGAGAUCCCUUGUGAACAAAUGGGCAAAAGUAGCAAGCUUAAGAAACCAGGUCAAAAUUGCAUGAGAAUAAGAAGAAAGUACGUGAGUUUUCUGUAGCCUAGAUUUUACUGGAAAUUCGAGAUGCGAAAGAAAGUUAAUCAUACAAAUAGUAAGAGUUUCUGUGUCAGAAACAGCAUCAGAGGUGAAAAGCACAAUCUAUAGGAAAAGGUUAUUCGCUCACUUUUUGCACAUAUGCUUUUGGGGUCAAUAUUGCUGACUGAAAUUCAAUUGGGCAAAUCGUGGCUAAUCAUGUGAGCUGCCUAUCACUUUAGAAAGGUUUUUCAUCACGCAUGUGGAAAGCAAAGCAGAAAAAAUCUUUUGGAUUGUAAGCAUAAAUAUCAUUUGGAAAGCAAUCAAUAAACUAAAACAAAUGAAAGUCGAAAAGUUGAGAGUGCAACACAAAACAAGGAAAAGAACGCAACAAAAAAACACAAAAGCCGCAAAAGUCAAUGAACUUGUUCAAGAAAGUCGACGUCGCAAAACACGUUCCAGAGAAAAAGAAUGUUUUUUAACGGGAAUAAACAAUCUAAAAGGCAAAAAUUGCCAUUUAUGGAUGUCAUAUGUUUAGCAUGUAAACAACAACUAAAGAAGAAGAUGAAGAAGAAUCGCUUGCGGGGUAAGUUUCCAGCAGAGAAAUAACAAUAGCUAAAGCCAGAUGUGCACUUGGAAUAUAAAUUAAGAAACCAACCUCAAGCAUAAGUAUUUUUGUAGCUUUAUUUACUUGGCAUAUUUUUAGUACAUAUUAUUC
Molecule: long non-coding RNA, 1627 nt
Organism: Drosophila albomicans
Lineage: Eukaryota; Metazoa; Arthropoda; Insecta; Diptera; Drosophilidae
Exons: 3
Source: RefSeq, a predicted model, not a curated record